RNAcentral lists this transfer RNA (65 nucleotides) under Ptiliidae sp. BMNH 1274726. RNAcentral's name for it is "tRNA-Ser". The record is from RNAcentral. Lineage: Eukaryota; Metazoa; Arthropoda; Insecta; Coleoptera; Ptiliidae.
GAUUAAUAAGCUUUAAUAGUAUAUAUUUUGAAAAUAUAAGAAAAAAACACCGUUUUUAUUAAUCU